RNAcentral lists this transfer RNA (77 nucleotides) under Rickettsiales bacterium. RNAcentral describes it as "tRNA-Pro". It matches the Rfam family "tRNA". From Rfam's summary of the family: Transfer RNA (tRNA) molecules are approximately 80 nucleotides in length. The record is from RNAcentral. Lineage: Bacteria; Pseudomonadati; Pseudomonadota; Alphaproteobacteria; Rickettsiales.
CGGGGCGUGGCGCAGCCUGGUAGCGCAUUUGCUUUGGGAGCAAAGGGUCGUGUGUUCGAAUCACAUCGCCCCGACCA